This 102-nucleotide Y RNA is filed under the name Cebus imitator (Panamanian white-faced capuchin). Its description in RNAcentral is "Y RNA (ENSCCAG00000008195.1)". It matches the Rfam family "Y RNA". Rfam says of the family: Y RNAs are components of the Ro ribonucleoprotein particle (Ro RNP), in association with Ro60 and La proteins. The Y RNAs and Ro60 and La proteins are well conserved, but the function of the Ro RNP is not known. Lineage: Eukaryota; Metazoa; Chordata; Mammalia; Primates; Cebidae. The record is from Rfam by way of RNAcentral.
GGCUGCUCUGAAUAUAAUGAGUUAUCUCGAUUGUUCGCAGUUACAGAUUGAACUCCUUGUUCUCUUUCCCACCUUCUCACUAUUGAACUUGACUAGUCAAAA